UUAGACACCACAAAUGAACAAGGUCCUGAAGGCUGCUGCACAAAGAAGAGUAAACCAGAUUCUGCCCCAAAAGACUAGCUGAAGAGAGGCCUGGAUUAAUCAGAGCCAGGUUGCCACCCAGAGGGAGAGGCCUGGACUGAGUGACCAUAGAGAUAAACCAAGGGAAGUAGAACUGAAGGAUGGAGAGAAACCAGGACCUGACAAUUACUGGUGACAUCAUUUGAACCCAAAUCCAGCCAUAUCUACAGACACCGAUAGCAGCAAGGGGCAGACAAAUGGGGCACAUCCCUGGUGAAACACACCUUCAAGCUAAAAAACAACCUGAAGGCUGAAAGACUGGACUCCUGGUCCUGGAUGAAACCCAGACCCAGAGUCAGAACCUCUGUUCAUGUUUGCCUGCCCUUUUCUGAUUGCUUCUUUCUGAAUAAUGCCUUUUAACCAAUCAAAUGUUGCCUUUUCCAUUACUACCUAU
This 472-nucleotide long non-coding RNA is filed under the name Pongo abelii (Sumatran orangutan). RNAcentral describes it as "lincRNA". Lineage: Eukaryota; Metazoa; Chordata; Mammalia; Primates; Hominidae. The record is from RNAcentral.